UCGGGAGUAGCAAUACUUGCCGGCGACCGGCGCAAGGGUGCGUAACGCGUGAGCAACAUGCCCGUAUCAGGGGGAUAAUCCAUGGAAACGUGGUCUAAUACCCCAUAGUAAUUAUGUAAGGCAUCUUAUAUAAUUUAAAGCUUUGGUGGAUACGGAUUGGCUCGCGUGACAUUAGCUGGAUGGUAAGGUAACGGCUUACCAUGGCUACGAUGUCUAGGGGUUCUGAGAGGAAGGUCCCCCACACUGGAACUGAGACACGGUCCAGACUCCUACGGGAGGCAGCAGUGAGGAAUAUUGGACAAUGGAUGGAAAUCUGAUCCAGCCAUGCCGCGUGCAGGAAGACGGCCCUAUGGGUUGUAAACUGCUUUUGUAUGGGAGCAAUAAGGGCUACGUGUAGUCCGAUGAGAGUACCAUACGAAUAAGCACCGGCUAACUCCGUGCCAGCAGCCGCGGUAAUACGGAGGGUGCAAGCGUUAUCCGGAUUUAUUGGGUUUAAAGGGUGCGUAGGCGGUUUGAUAAGUCAGCGGUGAAAUAUUUCAGCUUAACUGGAAGGGUGCCGUUGAUACUGUCGAGCUUGAAUUUAGUUGCUGUGGGUGGAAUGUGUGGUGUAGCGGUGAAAUGCAUAGAUAUCACACAGAAUAUCGAUUGCGAAGGCAGCUCACAAAGCUAAUAUUGACGCUGAUGCACGAAAGUGUGGGGAUCAAACAGGAUUAGAUACCCUGGUAGUCCACACUGUAAACGAUGAUAACUCGCUGUCGGCGAUACAUAGUCGGUGGCCAAGCGAAAGCGAUAAGUUAUCCAC
RNAcentral lists this ribosomal RNA (802 nucleotides) under uncultured bacterium. RNAcentral describes it as "bacterial SSU rRNA". It matches the Rfam family "Bacterial small subunit ribosomal RNA", at positions 70 to 872 of the family's 1533-position model. The record is from RNAcentral.